CCUACGGGGGGCAGCAGUGGGGAAUAUUGGUCAAUGGGGGAAACCCUGAUCCAGCGACGCCGCGUGAGUGAUGAAGGAUUUCGGUACGUAAAGCUCUAUUAGCAGGGAAGAAAAUGACGGUACCUGACUAAGAAGCCCCGGCUAACUACGUGCCAGCAGCCGCGGUAAUACGUAGGGGGCAAGCGUUAUUCGGAUUUACUGGGCGUAAAGGGCGCGUAGACGGCAGAGCAAGUCUGCAGUGAAAUGCCAGGGCUCAACCACGGAACUGCAGUGGAAACUGUGAAGCUGGAGUGCGGGAGAGGUAGGCGGAAUUCGUGGUGUAGCGGUGAAAUGCGUAGAGAUCAGGAGGAACAC
This 354-nucleotide ribosomal RNA is filed under the name uncultured bacterium. Its description in RNAcentral is "partial 16S ribosomal RNA". It matches the Rfam family "Bacterial small subunit ribosomal RNA", at positions 338 to 709 of the family's 1533-position model. The record is from RNAcentral.